RNAcentral lists this transfer RNA (90 nucleotides) under Alphaproteobacteria bacterium. RNAcentral describes it as "tRNA-Ser". It matches the Rfam family "tRNA". From Rfam's summary of the family: Transfer RNA (tRNA) molecules are approximately 80 nucleotides in length. Their secondary structure includes four short double-helical elements and three loops (D, anti-codon, and T loops). Lineage: Bacteria; Pseudomonadati; Pseudomonadota; Alphaproteobacteria. The record is from RNAcentral.
GGAAGGGUGGCCGAGUGGUUUAAGGCAGCGGUCUUGAGAACCGCCAGGGGCGCAAGCCCCUCGUGGGUUCGAAUCCCACCCCUUCCGCCA